UGACCGGCAAUCCUGGGAGGUCGGUGAUGAGGAAACUCUUUCAGGGGAGCGGCCGGACCCUUGGGAUGAGGAACCUUGUUUUCCCCAGCUCAAUUGACAAAUACCUCACUGACUACCAGAGGCACCAUGAGGGAAGCUGCCCCUCACAGAAACAGCUAGAAAACACCUUCUCCAAAGUCAGCAGGGUGAAGUCAUUUUUGUUUUUUCUAAGCAUGGGCAGCUCAGAGCUCCACACAUGGAGGUUUCUGGACCAGCUGAGAAAAUAAGGAAAUGGGUCGACACGCUGACCGAGAUGGGAAAGACCAUCACGACGGCAAAUUUCUAUCUGUGCAACGUGUUCCAAUUCCUGAAAUAUUUCAAGGAGACGCCGCCACACCUCUGUCGCCUCUCCCAGGCGCAGAUCACCGGGGUGAUCGGGGUGGUCCG
Molecule: long non-coding RNA, 426 nt
Organism: Micropterus dolomieu (smallmouth bass)
Lineage: Eukaryota; Metazoa; Chordata; Actinopteri; Centrarchiformes; Centrarchidae
Exons: 3
Source: RefSeq, a predicted model, not a curated record